This 689-nucleotide long non-coding RNA is filed under the name Parus major (Great Tit). Its description in RNAcentral is "lncRNA (ENSPMJG00000007932.1)". The record is from RNAcentral. Lineage: Eukaryota; Metazoa; Chordata; Aves; Passeriformes; Paridae.
ACGGUUGUAAUUAGACAUUUGGAAAAUGCAGCAUUUUGCUUUCACUCAUCGCUCAAAGGAACAGGGACUUCAGUUGUGGUUCUGGGUUUAACUUUCCUCCAUGCACUAGGAGAAAUUUGGGCUUAUUUAGUCCCAGGUCAUUUUGGCAUCUAUCACAAAGUGUGUUUACAGGAUUCACAACAAUAUCUGAGGAUUUGUUCUUCUUGUAAAGCUGGUAAGAGUGAUGUGGUUAAUCUUCUUCACUGUGUUCCAAAUGUAUGCCCUGUUCCUCAGACUGCCUCAGACUGUCUUCAAGGUCUCUGGACAAGGUGAACCACUAUGGAUUUAAAGAUUUAAUCAGACAGGACUCCAGCUGCUUAGAUUUAUCUGUCUUCAUGUUGGUCAUCUGAGUCACUCUGGCAUAAGUGAUGCAACUGAGUAGUAUAAACCACAAACAUUUAAAUCAUUUUCAGAUUGCCUUGUUUAGAAAAGUGAGGCUUGUGUCAAGAACAUGCAGAUUAAAGGAUCCCUUCAUAAGAGUAACAGUAACCCCAAAUUUAAAGGACCAUUCGUAACAAAGUGAGGUAGCAGAUUACUCUCUUGUCAGCUUAAUGGUGGCUACACAUGAAAAAGGCCAGCCUUGAGUUUGUGCUGCUUGUCUUUUGUGUGUCAAACAGCUUUCCAGGUAAGACUCACACUUAAGAUUGCAG